CCUACGGGAGGCAGCAGUGAGGAAUAUUGGUCAAUGGACGCAAGUCUGAACCCGCCACGCCGCGUGCAUGAAGACGGCCCUAUGAUUUGAAAACUGUUUUUGCACGAGGGCAAAUGCCGAUACGCGCAUCUGUCUGAACGUAUCGUACGACUCAGGACCGGCUAACUCCGUGCCAGCAGCCGAGGUAAUACGGAGGAUCCAAGCGUUCUCCGGAUUUAUUGGGUUUAAUGGGUGCGUAGGCGGUCGGUUAAGUUAGAGGUGAAUUCCCGGGGCUCAACUGGGGAAGUGCCGCUGAAACUGUGAGGCUAGAGAGGAGUAGAGGAGGGCGGAAGGUAUGGUGUAGCGGGGAAAUGCGUAGAGAUCA
RNAcentral lists this ribosomal RNA (364 nucleotides) under uncultured bacterium. Its description in RNAcentral is "partial 16S ribosomal RNA". It matches the Rfam family "Bacterial small subunit ribosomal RNA", at positions 338 to 699 of the family's 1533-position model. The record is from RNAcentral.